UCAUGCGCAUGCGCCCGAGAAAGUCGCGUAAUGGCUGCGCCCGAGGGGUCGCUGAGGAGGCGGAAGGUCGCGGAUGCGGGCCGGAGUCCCGGGUGGCCCCCCGGUCCUGCUCCCCAUCCCGCGGGCUCCCGGGUCCAUCUGCGCACGGGCACCUUCUGGCUGACCAGGGUCGUGCUCCUGAAAGCCCUCGCUUUCAUUUACUUUGUGGCCUUCCUGGUGGCCUUCCAUCAGAACAAGGCCCUAAUUGGUGACCAGGGCCUGCUGCCCUGCAGGCUGUACCUGAGGAGUGUCCAGCAGUAUUUCCAGGGCAAGAUUGGCUGGGAUGCCUGGAGCUAUGCUCCAACUGUCAUGUGGUUGCUGGACUGGUCAGACAUGAACUUCAACCUUGACCUGCUUGCUCUUCUUGGACUGGGCCUCUCAUGCUUCGUCCUGGUGACUGGAUGUGCCAACAUGGUUCUAAUGGCUGCCCUCUGGGUCCUCUACAUGUCCUUGGUCAACGUGGGACAGGUCUGGUAUUCUUUUGGAUGGGAGUCACAGCUGCUGGAAACAGGAUUCCUGGGAAUCUUUCUAUGCCCUCUCUGGACACUGUCCCACCUCCCUGAACACACCCCCACAUCCCAGAUCGUCCUGUGGGGCUUCCGCUGGCUGAUCUUCAGGAUCAUGCUUGGAGCGGGCCUGAUCAAGAUUCGUGGGGACAAGUGUUGGCUCGACCUCACCUGCAUGGACUUCCACUAUGAGACUCAGCCAGUUCCCAACCCAAUGGCCUACUAUCUGCACAGAUCACCCUGGUGGUUCCACCGCUUCGAGACACUCAGCAACCACUUUUUGGAGCUCCUCGUGCCCUUCUUCCUGUUCCUUGGACGCCGGAUGUGCAUUCUCCACGGGGUGCUGCAGAUCCUGUUCCAGGUGAUCCUCAUCAUCAGUGGGAACCUGAGCUUCCUGAACUGGCUCACCAUUGUGCCUAGCCUCGCCUGCUUCGAUGACGCAGCUUUGGGAUUCCUGUUUCCCUCAAGACCUAGAGGCCUGAAGGACCAAGUCCUAGGGAUGCAGAGGAAAGAAGCAAGAGAGGUCAAGUCUAAGCCAAGAUAUGGCUGCAUGGUUCGGCGUGUGGUCAACUUCUCCCUGGGCAUCCUGGUGGCCUGGCUCAGCAUGCCUGUGGUUGUCAACCUGCUAAGCUCCAAGCAGGUCAUGAACACUUCCUUCAACCCACUCAGGAUCGUCAACACCUACGGAGCCUUUGGAAGCAUCACCAAGGAGCGGACUGAAGUGAUCCUGCAGGGCACAGCUAGCCCCAAUGCCAGCAUGCCUGACGCAGUGUGGGAGGACUAUGAGUUCAAGUGCAAGCCGGGUGACCCCUGGAAGCAGCCGUGCCUUAUCUCCCCUUACCACUACCGUUUGGACUGGCUUAUGUGGUUCGCAGCCUUCCAGACCUACGAGCACAACGAAUGGAUCAUCCACCUGGCGGGCAAGCUCCUGGCUAGUGAUGCUGAGACCCUAUCCAUGCUCGCCCUCAACCCCUUCGAGGGUAGGGCUCCCCCCAGGUUUUCCAGAUCCAGUGGCCAGGCCUCUCUGGUCUAGAGCUGCGUCCUUCCAGACUCUGGACAGUUUUUCUCAGACCAUCCUCCUUGCCUGAAUGCCCCAGGUGAAGAAGUAUCAGAGACCUGGCUGCUGUCUUAGGUUUGUGUCCCAGCCCCCAGGGUGGACAUUUCAGGCCUGAGUCCCUAAGUCGUCACCUGGAUGGAAGGCAGAGGCUAGGAUGAGGUCUUCUGACUUGGCCCCUGACUUGGCCCCAGACUGAGGAAACAAUCAGGAGCACCCUGUAGAAACAAAGCCUUGCCUGCAGGCAGAUGCUAUGGAAGUGAAGGCACAAACCCAACUCACCUUUUGUGUGAAUUGGCAGUGAAUUAGUAUUUCAAGAGAAAUGUGGAAAGCAGCUAAAAGCAAUAAACACAGAGCCUGCACUCUGCUGAACCUUAUGGGCUAUGCUUGGCCACAGAGCUGCGUGUGACUGGGUGUGACUCAGCCUGACCAUGGCCAGCUGUAACUUUCUAAAAUGGAUGGCGACCAGAGCUUCCACAGUGGGAAGAUGGAGCAGACACCUCCCUGCCCUGUACUGAGCCUGGGUACCAUCCAUGAAGUAAACAUAGGAACUAUGAAGAGUGGAGGGAAUACCCCAGUGAGGGACUGCUGGACACCAGCACCAACUCUAAAAUGGAGAUGGAUCCGAGGAGAACACUACCGGUACCGGUUCAGCCUUCCCAGCGGCCAGCAUGCUGCCCAGGGCAAGUGGUGGGUACGCAAGCGGAUUGGUCCCUACUUCCCCC
This is an RNA transcript of Nannospalax galili (Upper Galilee mountains blind mole rat), 2324 nucleotides long. It is a transcript of the gene named lipase maturation factor 1, with no coding region annotated. The transcript has 12 exons. NCBI's taxonomy places the organism in Eukaryota, Metazoa, Chordata, Mammalia, Rodentia, Spalacidae. The record is from RefSeq and is a predicted model, not a curated record.